This 1111-nucleotide ribosomal RNA is filed under the name Dipteromimus tipuliformis. RNAcentral's name for it is "partial 16S ribosomal RNA". Lineage: Eukaryota; Metazoa; Arthropoda; Insecta; Ephemeroptera; Dipteromimidae. The record is from RNAcentral.
GGUAACUUAGUCUUAUACUCAUUAUUAAUGGAUCAUAAAUCUAUUUAUCAAUAUUACUAAUCAAGAAGAGUUUAUUUUAUCUCCCCGUCACCCCAACCAAACAAUUUUAAGUCAAACCCAACUCUCCCCUAAAUAAAUUUAUUACCCAUAAUUGUUAAACUCUAUAGGGUCUUCUCGUCCUCCAAUUUUAUUUAAGCCUUUUGACUAAAAAGUUAAAUUAUACCCCAAUCCCUGUGAGACAGUAAAUACCUCGUCCAACCAUUCAUACCAGCCCCUAAUUAGGAGACUAAUGAUUAUGCUACCUUUGCACGGUCAAAAUACCGCGGCCCUUCAAUUUUCAGCGGGCAGGCUAGACCUCUUACAUUUACAAGAAGCGAUGUUUUUGAUAAACAGGCGAGCAUCCAUUUGCCGAAUUCCUUACAGAAACCUUUCUAUAUUGAUUACUACUACAUUUCACUAUAUUAAUUCCACCAUUAUUGCCCAUUGUCCCCUAUUACCAAUGACACUUUGAUACAUAAACUAAACCCAUUAAAAUUAAACCACCCCUAAGUAAACUAUAACGUUAUUAUUUGAUGACUGAUUUCAAGUCUACCCCCUAAGCAACUAGCCCUGUUAUAAUUAUAUCCCUAAGCUUAUCCCUCAAGACAUUAACAAUUAACCCCUAAAUCAAUUAGUACUAAUCAAAAUAACGCUAUUGCCUGAAUUAAAUUCAUUUCUCAAAGAACCAGAAACCUCUAAAUUCGCCUAACAUUUCAUUUCUAAAGAAGUAUUUCUAAGAAAUUUACUAUUUUAACUAAAUUACCCCUUUAGCCCAUUUAAAAUCGAGAAAACAAAAUCUUUCACUCCAUUUGAUAAACCCUGAUACACAAGGUACAACACUAAAUCUACUUCUCAUUAAAUUACUUUUCAAUUAUUUCACCCUUCCUUCUCAGUACUACCCUUAUUACUUACUAUAUGGUCUCAUUACCCAAUACUCCCACUAAUCCCUUAAUAUUGAUUUACCCAGCCAACUUAAAAUCACUAACCUUAUUAAUUAUGUUACCUCUCAAAAUAAAUUGAAUUGCACAAUAACUUCUCAAUGUAAAUGAAAUGCUUUACUCCUCAAGCUCUA